Long non-coding RNA from Hylaeus volcanicus, 655 nucleotides. RefSeq lists it as uncharacterized. The transcript is spliced from 3 exons. NCBI's taxonomy places the organism in Eukaryota, Metazoa, Arthropoda, Insecta, Hymenoptera, Colletidae. The record is from RefSeq and is a predicted model, not a curated record.
AAAUAAGUAGUAAAUGAAAUUUUUUUAAUUACAAUUGGUCGAUAAUUACGCUUUGUUAAAACAAAAAGUAACUUGAUAUAAUAGUUUUGCAUCUCACACACAAAAGAAAUGAUGAAUUAGAAUGUUUCAAAAAUUGUAGAAAAACAUGACAAAAGGAAGCAGUGGGGCCAUAAGUACUCCUCCUUUUGAAAAUACAUUUUGGACGUUGAUAAAUUACUAUGAAGUUUAAUUAUUUGAACGUUUAUACAUUUACCUGUUGUUAUAGAGAAAAUGUAGCUUGCUGCUAACUGGAAGUAGUAAGGGAAAUUUAAGCUUAUAUAGGAUAAAGAAAAUCCUAAAGCAACGAUCUGAAGGAAUAUACCAUGUAUCUAUGGAACCAAAAAGGGUCUCUUAAGUUAUAACAGAAAGUUUCUGUUACUUGAGCAAUACGAAUCAACACAUCCUACAAUUAAAAAGAUAUAAAAACGUCUUUCCUAUCUUUUUUUUUAAAUCAUGUACAAUGGUUUAAAAAAUUAAAGUGGUGAUACAAAAGGAACUAUUAAAAAUAUUUUAAAAUGAAUACUUGAGCAAUAGCAAAACACUAUUAAAAACAGAAAUAUGGUAGGAAAAGAAGCUAUUUUAUGUAAUCAAAAUUUUUUUUUGUAAAUCACAAUAA